Molecule: ribosomal RNA, 450 nt
Filed under: uncultured bacterium
Lineage: Bacteria
Description: partial 16S ribosomal RNA
Rfam family: Bacterial small subunit ribosomal RNA
Source: RNAcentral
GUGGGGAAUUUUGGACAAUGGGGGCAACCCUGAUCCAGCAAUGCCGCGUGCAGGAAGAAGGCCUUCGGGUUGUAAACUGCUUUUGUACGGAACGAAAAGGCUCUGGUUAAUACCUGGGGCACAUGACGGUACCGUAAGAAUAAGCACCGGCUAACUACGUGCCAGCAGCCGCGGUAAUACGUAGGGUGCAAGCGUUAAUCGGAAUUACUGGGCGUAAAGCGUGCGCAGGCGGUGCUGUAAGACAGGCGUGAAAUCCCCGGGCUUAACCUGGGAAUGGCGCGUGUGACUGCAGUGCUGGAGUGUGGCAGAGGGGGAUGGAAUUCCGCGUGUAGCAGUGAAAUGCGUAGAUAUGCGGAGGAACACCGAUGGCGAAGGCAAUCCCCUGGGCCUGCACUGACGCUCAUGCACGAAAGCGUGGGUAGCAAACAGGAUUAGAAACCCGAGUAGUCC